AGUCCACAGGCUCACCCCCACCCUUUCUCAGAGAGCUGGUUUCAUAUGGCUGGAUUCUUUUGUCACAGUCUGCAUUUCAUCCUAGGAUUGUCCUGAUUCCCUAAAUGAAUUGUAUUUUUUUGAGACAGGGUCUGGCAGCCUCGAACCCCUGGAGGCUUAGGUGAUCCUCCCACCUCAGCCCCCAAGUAGCUGGGACCACAGGCUCAGCUAAUUUUUACUUUUUUUUGCAGAUAUCAACCUCUCUAUGUUUCCUAGGCUGGUCUCAAACUCCUGGACUCAAGCAAUCCUCCUGCCUUAGCCUCCACAAGUGCUGGGAUUACAGGCAUGAGCAACUGCAUCCGGCUAAACAACCUCUCUUCUUGCAACACUGUUUCCUUGUACCGUUAUCGAUGCUGGGAGAAGAGAAAAGGACAUCAUUUUGCCCUCAGGGAGCUCAUGGUCUAACGGAGAGAGAGACAUGUGAACAACUACAACGUCUGCGGUCUAAGAAAACACUAAAUUGGAGACGUGUUCAAAGCAGUGCAGGGGAGGGAGCGGAGUGAGACUUCCGGGGUCACCCAGAAGGGCUUCCCGGCAGGGAACGCUACACUUCCUUAGAAAUUAAGAGUGUGUGCUACACUGCUUUACCAGAGCAAGGCCAAAAGCAGCUUCAAUUAUGGUACAACUGUGUGAAGACACAAUGCAAAACCACUCAAGAAUGCUCACUCAAAUGGAUUUUUACCAUGCGUCUACAAUGUGGAAGCAAGUCCUGAGUGAAUAUGCAACCCUGCUCCACCUAUGGGGAAGUGGGACCAGAACCAGAAACAUCAGCACACAGGGACACAGCCCUGGAAACACAACCUCUGCUUUCAAAGCAGAUUGGCCACUAAGAGUUUUUAUUACCUAUUUUCUUUGCCAUAUUGUAGUUCCCAAUUCUCAAAAAUAAAAAUGUUAAGAGAAAUAUGAAAGACGGCUAAAAAGAGAGAAGAAACAAUGAAAAAGGAGAUGGCUCAUGCCUGUAAUCCCUUUGGGAGGCCGAGGCGGGUGGAUCACGAGGUCAGGAGAUCAAGACCAUCAUGGCUAACAGGAUGAAACCCCGUCUCUACUAAAAAUACAAAAAAUUAGCCGAGCAUGGUGGCAGGAGCCUGUAGUCCCAGCUAACUGGGAGGCUGAGGCAGGAGAAUGGUGUGAACCCAGGAGGCGGAACUUGCAGUGAGUGGAGAUCGCACCACUGCACUCCAACCUGGGCGACAGAGCAAGACUCCGUCUCAAAAAGAAAAAGAAAAAGAAAAAGAAAAAGGACAGAAGGGCAAAAAAGAAACAGGUACAGGGGACAUGGAGAGGUGGUCAGGGACACGGAUAUGGGCACAAGAAAGAGGAGGGAGAGAGAGAGGAGGAAGUUCUUGGCACAGAACUAGUCCUUCUCUACCCUCGAUUUAUUCUCAAGAAAUAAGAAAGUACGUUUUGUUUUGAUAGUCACUUAAUAGCAACAUGAACUGGCAGGUAGGAGAGUGGAGUCAGUGGAAACAGCUGCCAAAGCAGGGGUCAUGGAGAAGAACCAUAGGCAGGCAACACACACACACUGUGUGUGCUCCGCAACAAAGGUGCCAUUAGUCUCAAAGCAUAGUGGAUCAGUGAGUUGGGCUUAUGAAUGUUCCCAAGUCUUUUCCACUUCUGACCACAUUUUGAGUAUGUGUUAAUCAAAUUCAUCUCCUAAAUAUUUAGUAUAAGGCUUUAUGUAAUGAGUUCUCAAAUGCAUGUUGCUGAGCCACUGACAGCAGGAAACAAGCUACCUCCCACCAGGAAACCACUAACUAGUUUAUAUGCCUGUAACACAUAUCACUGUAAUUCUGGGUCCUAACAAAAACCUUUUUCAUAAAAACGGGUACCAGUCAGGAAGACCCAAAUGCAUAUUAGGGAAGUAAUUAUCUAUUACUCUCUAGGAUACUGAUAAAGGAAGGGACUUCCAUGUCAAUUUCUAAAUAUUCAAGAGGCCUUGAAUAUCCCAAGGUGCCUGUUAGGGUCAUUAUUUUGAAACUAAAAGCAGACCUGGCCUCUUCUGAUUAAGAAAGCACACACACACACACUUUUCACUCUGACUGUUGACAAUUCAAGCCCAUGCACAGUACAUGCUUCCUUGGGAAUACCUCUCGUGUAUAUACUCUGGUAGGGCCAGGCCUAUAGGGGCAUCCUGUUGCCUUCAAUGCUGAACUUGACAGCACGAUGCACUUUGCUGAGUCGUUUCUGUUCUGCAAAUCGCCUCUUAUGCUUUUCCAAUCGGCUUAGGCCCUUUUUAAGAAUACCAGGCUAGAAGUAGUAGUUUGAUUGGAGAAUAAAAA
RNAcentral lists this long non-coding RNA (2318 nucleotides) under Homo sapiens (human). RNAcentral's name for it is "PREDICTED lncRNA (TCONS_00151078)". Lineage: Eukaryota; Metazoa; Chordata; Mammalia; Primates; Hominidae. The record is from RNAcentral.